Molecule: long non-coding RNA, 1037 nt
Organism: Cornus florida
Lineage: Eukaryota; Viridiplantae; Streptophyta; Magnoliopsida; Cornales; Cornaceae
Exons: 2
Source: RefSeq, a predicted model, not a curated record
CUAAUUUUUUUAAUCUUUUUUAUUCAAAAAUAUCAUAUUACCUAAAUGACCAUUAUACCCGACACCCACCUACCAACCCAGACAUUGCAACGGAGAUUAGCAAUUGAAGAUGUGUGUUUCUGCUGUAUCAAAGAUGAGCAAUUGAAGAUGUUGGUGGCCUCCAUUCAUCCUUACAUUUCGAUCAGACCUGAGCUCGUGCUUGUCGCCGGUAAGAGAGCUUGUUGUUGGUUUGACGAUGAAGCACGACGGUCGGUUCGUUGACGCUCCGAGUUGUCGCCGAACCGAACUGGGUUGCUACACCUCAACAACUUCCGGUGAACAAAACCAGUCACCAACCAUCACCGUCCACGUCUUUUGAAUUCACAUUCCUGGUGAUCGCAACAUCGUUGUCUAGGCCAGUAAGCAGUUCACCGACACCGAAUUUGAAAGCCCUAUAUUCACGUCGUUGAGGGCAUUGAGAAACCAAUCCUCUGAUUGAGGAGGCCGACUCGGGUUUCAACAAGAAUAGAAAGAGACGGAGGCGAAAAAAACUUUUGGGAGGCAUCGGGAUUGGCCGCUGAGAAGGGGUUUUGGAGAGAACGAAGCUGUUGAAAAACCAGUCGGCGCUCAAGGUCCUUCUUCUUGAUAGUCAGCUAGGGUCAACUGGUCCCACGGUACAGGGUCGGAGACCCAAUUUGAGGAGACCGAGAGAAAACAGAGGGCUUUGGCGGUGGAGAGUUGUAGAUUCCGGUGACAAGUUGAGGAACCAAUCCUCUGAUGGGUGUUGGGUUGGGAUUGGGAUUGGGAUUGUGUAGAUGGUGGCGGCGACGAUUGGUCAUAGGCUGGGAUUGUGUGGGCGGCGGCGACGACGGCGAUGGCGGAUGUCUAUGUGGGGGCGGCGGCGGCGGAUGUCUGUGUAUGUGUGUGUAUAUAUAUAUAUAUAUAUAUGUCUCUGUGUGUAAUGUGUGUGUAUAUAUAUAUAAUUUGUAAAUUUACAACUUUUUAAGAAUAUUUUAGUCUUUUAAUUUAAUUCUUUAAUCUGGUUUGACAAAUUUAAA